UGUUAAGUUGGAUGUGAAAGCCCUGGGCUCAACCUAGGAACUGCAUCCAAAACUAACUCACUAGAGUACGAUAGAGGGAGGUAGAAUUCAUAGUGUAGCGGUGGAAUGCGUAGAUAUUAUGAAGAAUACCAGUGGCGAAGGCGGCCUCCUGGAUCUGUACUGACACUAAGGUGCGAAAGCGUGGGUAGCGAACAGGAUUAGAUACCCUGGUAGUCCACGCCGUAAACGAUGACAACUAGCUGUUGGAAGACAACGUCUUUCAGUGGCGCAGCUAACGUUUUAAGUUGUCCGCCUGGGGAGUACGGCCGCAAGGCUAAAACUCAAAUGAAUUGACGGGGACCCGCACAAGCGGUGGAGCAUGUGGUUUAAUUCGAUGCAACGCGAAAAACCUUACCUACUCUUGACAUACUUGGAAACUCUUGUAAUGAGAGUGUGCCUUUUGGAACCAAGAUACAGGUGCUGCAUGGCUGUCGUCAGCUCGUGUCGUGAGAUGUUCCGUUAAGUCGGAUAACGAGCGCAACCCUUACCCUUAUUUGCCAGCGAUUCGGUCGGGAACUAUAAGGGGACUGCCGGUGAUAAACCGGAGGAAGGUGAGGACGACGUCAAGUCAUCAUGGCCCUUACGAGUAGGGCUACACACGUGCUACAAUGGGGAAUACAGACGGACGCUAAGCCG
This 675-nucleotide ribosomal RNA is filed under the name uncultured bacterium. Its description in RNAcentral is "bacterial SSU rRNA". It matches the Rfam family "Bacterial small subunit ribosomal RNA", at positions 581 to 1257 of the family's 1533-position model. The record is from RNAcentral.